Molecule: long non-coding RNA, 327 nt
Filed under: Ananas comosus (pineapple)
Lineage: Eukaryota; Viridiplantae; Streptophyta; Magnoliopsida; Poales; Bromeliaceae
Description: long non-coding RNA (ACOM_LNC017864)
Source: RNAcentral
UAUUCUAUAUGUAUUUAUGUGUGUUUUCUUCUGUUGAAAGGAAGGUUGGAUUUUGUCAUUAAUCCGUGGUCGAUCGAGACGAAACGAAAUAGUAGAUUUGUUGUCUCCGUCGUGCUGAUCGUACUGGUGCGAUUCGUUCACAAAUCUGACGGACGGAUCUGCGGAGAUCACGCGUUGAUCGAGGAGAGGUCGGUAGUGGCAAACGGUAUUUUCGCAAAAGUCGCGAUAUUUUAUGUACCGUUUCGCGUGAGAUCGCACGUGGAGGGGUAUUCGUGCAUUUUAGUCGUGCUGUGAGGGACUCGGUAUGAAUUACCGGUGUUUGGUGGA